Long non-coding RNA from Oreochromis niloticus (Nile tilapia), 1365 nucleotides. RefSeq lists it as uncharacterized. NCBI's taxonomy places the organism in Eukaryota, Metazoa, Chordata, Actinopteri, Cichliformes, Cichlidae. The transcript has 3 exons. The record is from RefSeq and is a predicted model, not a curated record.
CACAACGGACACUAAUGUUUUUGUCACUUUUUAUGGAAUCAAACUCAAAGUAAGAUUCCUCCACCUGCCAUGGCUCCCAUCUUCCACUUGCUCCCUACUCUCACUACAGAUCACAAUGUCACCUGCCAACAUCAUACUCCACAGACCCCUGCCUGACCUCAUCAGCCAAUUUGUCCAUCAUCACAGCCAACAAGAAGGGGCUCAGAGCAGAUCCCUGAUUUACUAACGAGGGAUAAAGCUUGAUUUUGAAAAUUGGUACCAGUACUCUUCUUCCUCAGACAUCCUCCCACUCUCCAAGACUGCACUAAACAAUCUGGUCAAAAAUUCCUCUCUCCUAGACAUCUCCAUAUCUCCACAGGUAUGUCAUCCUAAACCAACUUCCUUUCAACUCUUUAGUCUCUUCAUAACUGCCUUCACUUACUCCUUACAAAUCUUCUGCUCUUCCUGAUUCAUUUUCUAUUUUCAUAUCCAUAAUGUUAACCAAACAAGUUAGGAAUAAAAGUACUAACUAAAAGUCAACAACUUCUUUAGUAUAUUGUGGGAUGAUACAUCGCAGAGUGUGCAGGGAUCUAUUGUUGUUCUUGAGUUGUCACCGCCUAAUAACACUGACUCUCAGUGCCACUCAGGUGACCACUGAACACAGCCAGAGGCUUUGUGUCAGCUUUUUCAGUUUGUAAAACAAAUAAAAUUGCAAAAAAAGUAACAAACAGGACAUAAGAAUAAAAAACGAAAUACAAAUAUAAUAGAAAAACAUGAAGUUAAAUCAAAACUUCUCAGGGGAACAUUUAGAGACCAAAAUGACAAGUUCUUGCAAAUCUAAAAGGAGCAUACUAAUGAACAAACCAGAUAAAUAGUUAGGAGAUAGUCUAUUAAGCUUUUGUUUAUGAGCACUAAAAUAAGCCCCUAUUUUCUUUUGUGUUUUAGCAGUUGCACAGAACUUUGGUGUCCAGUGAAACACACUGAAGCAGCUAUCAUAAUGAGCCCAUGCUGGUGCUGCCAUGUUAUGUGGAGUUUACAGCAAUCGAUGUAGCCUGACUGAUAAUUGGUUUUUAAUGCGCUUGCUGAGGAGUCUCGCCUAAACGACACCUUCUGCACCAUUUAAAGUUGAUGUGGCACACAUUAUUAAACGUAAAUAGCAGUAAAGUGAAAACCAAUUUCUGUCCCUACAGGAAGAUUUUCCUGUUUCUUUAAGUUAAAUUAAAAGCAUUCAAUAAAUUCUUACAUUUGCCAUUCUGUAUCUUUCUUGUAUCUUGUAUUGAGUUUUGUUCUAUUUGUGCCUGUUUAGUUUUCUCUGGCUUCCUCACACAGGCAACCACCUUAAUUAGUUAUUAUUUGUCUACAAUAAUUUCAUGGACAACCGUGUCA